Molecule: ribosomal RNA, 253 nt
Filed under: uncultured bacterium
Lineage: Bacteria
Description: partial 16S ribosomal RNA
Rfam family: Bacterial small subunit ribosomal RNA
Source: RNAcentral
GACGUAGGGCGCGAGCGUUGUCCGGAUUUAUUGGGCGUAAAGAGCUCGUAGGCGGCUCGUUGCGUCAACCGUGAAAACCCGGGGCUUAACUUCGGGCUUGCGGUUGAUACGGGCGGGCUGGAGUUCGGUAGGGGAGACUGGAAUUCCUGGUGUAGCAGUGAAAUGCGUAGAUAUCCGGAGGAACACCGGUGGCGAAGGCGGGUUGCUGGGCUGACACUGACGCUGAUGCGCGAAAGCCAGGGGAGCGAACGGG